AGCAGUCGCCGCGGUAAUACGUAGGUGGCAAGCGUUGUCCGGAAUUAUUGGGCGUAAAGCGCGCGCAGGUGGUUUAAUAAGUCUGAUGUGAAAGCCCACGGCUCAACCGUGGAGGGUCAUUGGAAACUGUUAAACUUGAGUGCAGGAGAGAAAAGUGGAAUCCCUAAUGUAGCGGUGAAAUGCGUAGAGAUUAGGAGGAACACCAGUGGCGAAGGCGGCUUUUUGGCCUGUAACUGACACUGAGGCGCGAAAGCGUGGGGAGCAAACAGGAUUAGAUACCCCAGUAGUCCUGUCUCUUAUACA
RNAcentral lists this ribosomal RNA (303 nucleotides) under uncultured bacterium. Its description in RNAcentral is "partial 16S ribosomal RNA". It matches the Rfam family "Bacterial small subunit ribosomal RNA", at positions 507 to 809 of the family's 1533-position model. The record is from RNAcentral.